Molecule: transfer RNA, 65 nt
Filed under: Dipodomys ordii (Ord's kangaroo rat)
Lineage: Eukaryota; Metazoa; Chordata; Mammalia; Rodentia; Heteromyidae
Rfam family: tRNA
About the family: Transfer RNA (tRNA) molecules are approximately 80 nucleotides in length. Their secondary structure includes four short double-helical elements and three loops (D, anti-codon, and T loops). Further hydrogen bonds mediate the characteristic L-shaped molecular structure. tRNAs have two regions of fundamental functional importance: the anti-codon, which is responsible for specific mRNA codon recognition, and the 3' end, to which the tRNAs corresponding amino acid is attached (by aminoacyl-tRNA synthetases). tRNAs cope with the degeneracy of the genetic code in two manners: having more than one tRNA (with a specific anti-codon) for a particular amino acid; and 'wobble' base-pairing, i.e. permitting non-standard base-pairing at the 3rd anti-codon position.
Source: Rfam by way of RNAcentral
GGUGGCUCAGUGGUAGAGUGCUUGCCUCACAAGCAUGGGGCCCUGGGUUCAAUUCCUCAGUACCA